RNAcentral lists this non-coding RNA (21 nucleotides) under Caenorhabditis elegans. Lineage: Eukaryota; Metazoa; Nematoda; Chromadorea; Rhabditida; Rhabditidae. The record is from RNAcentral.
UGAUGUUCUCGCAUUUAUGUU